UACGGAGGGUGCAAGCGUUAUCCGGAUUCACUGGGUUUAAAGGGAGCGUAGGAGGGCAGGUAAGUCAGUGGUGAAAUCUUCGAGCUUAACUCGGAAACUGCCGUUGAUACUAUCUGUCUUGAAUACCGUGGAGAUGAGCGGAAUAUGUCAUGUAGCGGUGAAAUGCUUAGAUAUGACAUAGAACACCAAUUGCGAAGGCAGCUCGUUACACGAAUAUUGACACUCAGGCACGAAAAGCGUGGGGGAUCAAACAGGA
Molecule: ribosomal RNA, 256 nt
Filed under: uncultured bacterium
Lineage: Bacteria
Description: partial 16S ribosomal RNA
Rfam family: Bacterial small subunit ribosomal RNA
Source: RNAcentral